CCCCCCNGANCGGGGUCUAAUACCGGAUAUCACUCUUGCAGGCAUCUGUGAGGGUCGAAAGCUCCGGCGGUGCAGGAUGAGCCCGCGGCCUAUCAGCUUGUUGGUGAGGUAAUGGCUCACCAAGGCGACGACGGGUAGCCGGCCUGAGAGGGCGACCGGCCACACUGGGACUGAGACACGGCCCAGACUCCUACGGGAGGCAGCAGUGGGGAAUAUUGCACAAUGGGCGAAAGCCUGAUGCAGCGACGCCGCGUGAGGGAUGACGGCCUUCGGGUUGUAAACCUCUUUCAGCAGGGAAGAAGCGAAAGUGACGGUACCUGCAGAAGAAGCGCCGGCUAACUACGUGCCAGCAGCCGCGGUAAUACGUAGGGCGCAAGCGUUGUCCGGAAUUAUUGGGCGUAAAGAGCUCGUAGGCGGCUUGUCACGUCGGGUGUGAAAGCCCGGGGCUUAACCCCGGGUCUGCANCGAUC
RNAcentral lists this ribosomal RNA (470 nucleotides) under Streptomyces sp. M4(2015). Its description in RNAcentral is "bacterial SSU rRNA". It matches the Rfam family "Bacterial small subunit ribosomal RNA", at positions 147 to 632 of the family's 1533-position model. The record is from RNAcentral. Lineage: Bacteria; Bacillati; Actinomycetota; Actinomycetes; Kitasatosporales; Streptomycetaceae.